This 465-nucleotide ribosomal RNA is filed under the name uncultured bacterium. RNAcentral describes it as "partial 16S ribosomal RNA". It matches the Rfam family "Bacterial small subunit ribosomal RNA", at positions 28 to 507 of the family's 1533-position model. The record is from RNAcentral.
GACGAACGCUGGCGGCGUGCUUAACACAUGCAAGUCGUACGGUAAGGCCCUUUCGGGGGUACACGCGUGGCGAACGGGUGAGUAACACGUGAGUAACCUGCCCACAACUUUGGGAUAACGCUAGGAAACUGGUGCUAAUACUGGAUAUGUGCUCCUGCUGCAUGGUGGGGGUUGGAAAGCUCCGGCGGUUGUGGAUGGACUCGCGGCCUAUCAGCUUGUUGGUGGGGUAGUGGCCUACCAAGGCGGCGACGGGUAGCCGGCCUGAGGGGGUGACCGGCCACAUUGGGACUGAGAUACGGCCCAGACUCCUACGGGAGGCAGCAGUGGGGAAUAUUGCACAAUGGGCGCAAGCCUGAUGCAGCAACGCCGCGUGCGGGAUGACGGCCUUCGGGUUGUAAACCGCUUUCAGCAGGGACGAAGCUUUUUGUGACGGUACCUGCAGAAGAAGCACCGGCUGACUACGUG